GUGCUCACUUUGGCAGCAUAUAUACUGACACUGGAAUGAUAGAGAGAAGAUUAGUGUGGGCCCUGGGCAAAGAUGACAUGAAAAUUCUUGGGGCAGGUAGGUGGUGC
Molecule: small nuclear RNA, 107 nt
Organism: Vombatus ursinus (common wombat)
Lineage: Eukaryota; Metazoa; Chordata; Mammalia; Diprotodontia; Vombatidae
Source: Ensembl